RNAcentral lists this ribosomal RNA (135 nucleotides) under uncultured eukaryote. RNAcentral describes it as "partial 18S ribosomal RNA". It matches the Rfam family "Eukaryotic small subunit ribosomal RNA", at positions 1299 to 1458 of the family's 1831-position model. The record is from RNAcentral.
UGGUGGAGUGAUUUGUCUGGUUAAUUCCGAUAACGAACGAGACCUUAACCUGCUAACUAGUCCAGAUCUGAACAAGGUUUGUGACUUCUUAGAGGGACUAUCUGUGUAAACAGAUGGAAGUUUGAGGCAAUAACA